This 31-nucleotide non-coding RNA is filed under the name Homo sapiens (human). Lineage: Eukaryota; Metazoa; Chordata; Mammalia; Primates; Hominidae. The record is from RNAcentral.
UAUGUGUCCAGGAAUUUAUCCAUUUCUUCCA